AUAAAUUUUGCCGUGGUAAGCGGGUGCCCUUGUAAUGUUAAGAGCGGAGAGUCUGGCAGGUGAGUGCGAAAAGUUGACCGUAGUUGGUCGAGAACUUUCACCGGACACCAGGCAUUAUCAGUAGGGAAGAGAGGAAUUAUUGUAGGAUGUAUUGACCGGUUGGUUUUAGUGGUAGGGAUAGAAAGGAGGUAGUGAUCCUCUACCUUGGU
RNAcentral lists this long non-coding RNA (209 nucleotides) under Pelobates cultripes (western spadefoot toad). Lineage: Eukaryota; Metazoa; Chordata; Amphibia; Anura; Pelobatidae. The record is from RNAcentral.